GACGAACGCUGGCGGCGUGCUUAACACAUGCAAGUCGAACGGAAAGGCCCUGCUUUUGUGGGGUGCUCGAGUGGCGAACGGGUGAGUAACACGUGAGUAACCUCCCCUUGACUUUGGGAUAACUUCAGGAAACUGGGGCUAAUACCGGAUAGGAGCUCCUGCUGCAUGGUGUGGGUUGGAAAGUUUCGGCGGUUGGGGAUGUACUCGCGGCUUAUCAGCUUGUUGGUGGGGUAGUUGCUUACAAAGGCUUUGACGGGUAGCCGGCCUGAGAGGGUGACCGGCCACAUUGGGACUGAGAUACGGACCAGAAUCCAACGGGAGGCAGCAGUGGGGAACAUUGCACAAUGGGCGGACGCCUGAUGCAGAAACGCCGCGUGCGGGAUGCCGGCCUUCGGGUUGUAAACAGAUUUCGACUGUGACGAAGCGUGAGUGACGGUAAUGGGUAAAGAAGCACCGGCUAACUACGUG
RNAcentral lists this ribosomal RNA (468 nucleotides) under uncultured bacterium. Its description in RNAcentral is "partial 16S ribosomal RNA". It matches the Rfam family "Bacterial small subunit ribosomal RNA", at positions 28 to 507 of the family's 1533-position model. The record is from RNAcentral.